AAUCCAUAGGUUAAUGAGGCGAACCGGGGGAACUGAAACAUCUAAGUACCCCGAGGAAAAGAAAUCAACCGAGAUUCCCCCAGUAGCGGCGAGCGAACGGGGAGGAGCCCAGAGCCUGAAUCAGCAUGUGUGUUAGUGGAAGCGUCUGGAAAGGCGCGCGAUACAGGGUGACAGCCCCGUACACAAAAGCGCAUGUGCUGUGAGCUCGAUGAGUAGGGCGGGACACGUGGUAUCCUGUCUGAAUAUGGGGGGACCAUCCUCCAAGGCUAAAUACUCCUGACUGACCGAUAGUGAACCAGUACCGUGAGGGAAAGGCGAAAAGAACCCCGGCGAGGGGAGUGAAAAAGAACCUGAAACCGUGUACGUACAAGCAGUGGGAGCCCCACCACUAAGCCAGUGGUGAACUCCACAUACGCAUCCUUUGCUGAGGAUACGGUUAACGGAGCGAAAGCGACGUUCAACCUCAAAAGAAGCAGAGGGGGCUUAGUGGUGGGGUGACUGCGUACCUUUUGUAUAAUGGGUCAGCGACUUAUAUUCUGUAGCAAGGUUAACCGC
This 555-nucleotide ribosomal RNA is filed under the name Salmonella enterica subsp. enterica serovar Mbandaka. Its description in RNAcentral is "partial 23S ribosomal RNA". It matches the Rfam family "Bacterial large subunit ribosomal RNA", at positions 161 to 653 of the family's 2925-position model. Lineage: Bacteria; Pseudomonadati; Pseudomonadota; Gammaproteobacteria; Enterobacterales; Enterobacteriaceae. The record is from RNAcentral.